This 332-nucleotide ribosomal RNA is filed under the name uncultured eukaryote. RNAcentral describes it as "partial 18S ribosomal RNA". It matches the Rfam family "Eukaryotic small subunit ribosomal RNA", at positions 1470 to 1796 of the family's 1831-position model. The record is from RNAcentral.
UCCUUAGAUGUUCUGGGCUGCACACGUGCUACACUGGCAGGUUCAGCGAGCUUCAUGCCCUGAUCUGAAAGGAAUGGGAAAUCUUUUCAAAACCUGCCGUGCUUGGGGUAGAUGUUUGCAAUUAUUCAUCUUCAACGAGGAUUGCCUUGUAAGCGCACGUCAUCAGCGUGCAUUGAAUACGACCCUGUAUUCUGUACACACCGCCCGUCGCUCCUACCGAUUGAAGUUUUCGGUGAGUUGACAGGAGGAUUUUUUUGAAACUGGUUCGCCAGUGGAUUUUAGAUCCAAAUGCCAACGAAUCGAUGGCUUUAGAGGAAGGAGAAGUCGUAACA